UUAUAAUUUACGGAUCUAAAAGAAUGUUUUCCUCCGCCAAACCUCUCGUGAAUUUCUUGACUCGACAUUUUCUUACACUCUCGCACAAGCGCUAGUAGUCUAGCCGAUUUAAUUCAAUUGUCAUUUUAUGCCAAUCUCAUAAUUGGUCGAUGGGCUACCGCAUAGUAUCUAUAAUCGUGUACGUAACUAAGGUAAAAGUUAAAAAGAACAACUGUCCACCACUCUCUUAUUAUACAGACACUCUAAAUUGGAAAUCUUGGCGGAAUAUAUUAGUUAUUAUAAUAAAUAGCUGGCAAUAAUAAUACUACGUAGACUAGAU
Molecule: non-coding RNA, 319 nt
Organism: Cinara cedri
Lineage: Eukaryota; Metazoa; Arthropoda; Insecta; Hemiptera; Aphididae
Source: the annotation of a GenBank genome assembly